RNAcentral lists this long non-coding RNA (1403 nucleotides) under Coturnix japonica (Japanese quail). RNAcentral's name for it is "lncRNA (ENSCJPG00005004728.1)". The record is from RNAcentral. Lineage: Eukaryota; Metazoa; Chordata; Aves; Galliformes; Phasianidae.
UGCGUGUCUUCCAGCUUCUCUGUUGUUUCAGACCCAGAGAAGGACUUGUGUUUCUGUGGUGCUGCCACUAGCAGUAAUCAUAUUGCUGUGAUGGUCUCUCAUAAAUGAGAACAUAUUUCUCAGGAGGAGUGUCGUGCUCUAGCUUGUAUAGAUAGGAAAAACUGAACAAGUUUGGAGCACAUGAGCGUCUUUUGGCUCAGAAGAGCACCUCACAGCUCACUUGUUUGUUCCAGUUUUAUCAGUAUCUCUAAUGAAAUGCAUUGCUUCAUCCUGAAAACCUUGCUGUUCUUACAUCCACGGUUCCUACUAGCUUCAGAUGGAUUUGUUCCAGUUAAAACUGGCCUAUGCAUCUUCAGGCUCUACUAUGAAAAGUGUUGAGCGUCUGACCUGGCCUGGACAUCAGCAGUGACAGUGUUGGCAACCGUGACUGGGAUGGCUGCUCAGAUUUUGAGGAGUUUUUUUUUUUUCCACGAAGGUAUGGAAAGAGGGAGGAGAGCCUACAUAAUGAAGUGGAGCACAGUGAAAAGAUUGCAGAGCUCCUUUGAAUCCCCAGGAAACUGGGUGCCACUGGAGGGCAUAACUCUAAGAGAACAGCCACGGCUUCAGGCUGAAUCCUGCAGGGUCAUCUACUUUCAACUCACUAACCUGGAUGCAGGUGCAGUCACCGACUGUCACAGGAAGAGGUCCUCAGGUCCUUUCAUUUGUGACUGUGUCUGUGUUCGCUCUUCAGAUGUGCAGAUAUCUUUGGAUCUUUUGGAUCUUUACUUGAGAGCUACAAAAGUACAAGGAAAAGACUGCUGUCUCAGAGGUUGCUCCACUGGGUUAUUUCCGAUGUGAUAUGGCAAUAUAUGAUGUAUUCUCCAAAAGCCAGAGCUUCAGAACUGCAACUAGGCAGCCGCGUUGUUUUUGCAAGAAAACUGCAUACAGUGAAUGGCCCACAUAGUGUCAAUCAAAGUGAUGCAAAGUUUAAACACUGUGGCUCUUGGAUUGAAGUUGGAGGUGAUCUGUUCGGAUGAAAUUGUAGCAACAUAGCCUCAAGAAUGAAGCAAGCAGCCAGGCUGUCUGAGUGUGGGUGAAAUCUGAUGGAUUAUAUUCUUCUUGGACACCCUCCAGGAUCUCAGUCAGUGUCAGUGUAAUUUGUAAGGGCUGUGAAUUCUAGAAGGAGCAACACAUCAUGUGCAACACGUGUACUUCGUAUUUAAAGAAGUGAGGAAUUUGUGAGCAUUUUCUGUGGGUGAAAUCAGUGGUAUUUAGUUUCUAAAGAAACGAAGUCCUCUAAACACUUUGCUUUUUUAUUAAUCUUUCAUUAAAGUAAAUAAGCUUAUUGCAUUUAAAGUAAGCAGCUCGAUACUUGUGUCAAACUACUAUAGCAGUAUCCAAUAAAAAUUGGAAACUGGUCUCCA